This 476-nucleotide ribosomal RNA is filed under the name uncultured organism. RNAcentral describes it as "partial 16S ribosomal RNA". It matches the Rfam family "Bacterial small subunit ribosomal RNA", at positions 333 to 800 of the family's 1533-position model. The record is from RNAcentral.
ACACUCCUGCGGGAGGCAGCAGUGGGGAAUUUUGGACAAUGGGCGAAAGCCUGAUCCAGCCAUGCCGCGUGCAGGAUGAAGGCCUUCGGGUUGUAAACUGCUUUUGUACGGAACGAAACGGCCUUUUCUAAUAAAGAGGGCUAAUGACGGUACCGUAAGAAUAAGCACCGGCUAACUACGUGCCAGCAGCCGCGGUAAUACGUAGGGUGCAAGCGUUAAUCGGAAUUACUGGGCGUAAAGCGUGCGCAGGCGGUUAUGUAAGACAGUUGUGAAAUCCCCGGGCUCAACCUGGGAACUGCAUCUGUGACUGCAUAGCUAGAGUACGGUAGAGGGGGAUGGAAUUCCGCGUGUAGCAGUGAAAUGCGUAGAUAUGCGGAGGAACACCGAUGGCGAAGGCAAUCCCCUGGACCUGUACUGACGCUCAUGCACGAAAGCGUGGGGAGCAAACAGGAUUAGAUACCCUAGUAGUCCCAUGA